RNAcentral lists this long non-coding RNA (4430 nucleotides) under Populus trichocarpa (black cottonwood). RNAcentral's name for it is "long non-coding RNA (PTRI_LNC001420)". Lineage: Eukaryota; Viridiplantae; Streptophyta; Magnoliopsida; Malpighiales; Salicaceae. The record is from RNAcentral.
UAAUCUCGCGAUCAGAAUUAUAUAGCACAAAGUUGCCUGAAUCAGACAUAGAAGCUAAAGAAGCUGGCUGGGAAGCAGAAACUAUCAAAGUCUCACCCCCUUGUGCUGAUGUCAGGACAAGCCUGCCAUCACUGGUGAAGAGCAAGGUCGAAUUACUGGGGACUGGGUCAUCAUCCCUUCUAGCAGCCCACACAACAGUCUUUAGUGAAAUCCCGGAUAGAAAAACCCCUAUAGAAUAGCCGUUGCGUUGUCGGAAAAAUCCAAAAGCAUAAAGACCGGAAGGCGACAACCAUGAGGAGUUUGUGAUAGGUGUUAGAGAAGAUCCUAGGGUUAUAUUGGUCUGUAUUUGAGCUGAAGCUGUAAAAGAUAAGGCGAGAAGAAGAAAAAAGAUGAUAGAAGCCAUGGAUAGGGAUUUAGCUCUUGUGUGGUAUAGGAGUGUCAAUAUAAAGAUGUCCAUUGUUCCAGCACUCCAGUCUCUUUCUUUGGUUUCCAGCAGUCAAGCCAGGCACUCAAAACAUAAAAGUCUAGCCAUAAAAUCCACCGCGUUCCCGUACCAAUUGGUGGAAAUCCUUGCUGUUACUUUUCUGCUUUCAAAGUCAAUGCAGUCAAGUCACUGAAAAAACUCGGGAAUUACUUGGCGCUGGUCCACUUUUUCCAUCAUACUAUCCCCCAUUUGAACAGCCAUUUGCUAAUUUCAGCAGGAUUAUUCUUAGUACUAGUUUUCCGCGGCAGAUUCUUUGUCAUUUGCCAUGUACCAUUCAAUACGCUUUGAAGACACAAUCUUUAGCUUCCUGCAGACAGGUUCAACUAGUUAAGAAAUAUCGAUUGUGGUGCCAAUGCUAAUACCCUGGCAUAAUACUAGGGCAAGACAGAACAGCUUGCUUGCUUAUACUAAUGUCCCUCAUAUGCUAAAGCCUAGCUAGCAACCUCAGUUUCUAACGAAAGAGCAUCUCUACAUGUUGCGUAACUAACAUACUCGUCGUGUUAUGGAUGUUUGAAGAUGGAUUUACUCUCAAUAUGUAAAUCCUAGCUAGGUAAAUAAAUAAUCCCUUGAUCAUUAAAACUGAAAAGUGGAACUCAUUGGACCGUUGAUUUUAUGAUCAAUUCCACUGUACGACUUUAUUCAGAGUACAAUUGAGGUGGUCACGGCAAGGACUGAGUCAAGGGACAACCUAGCAUUUGCUGACCUGCUCUUCUCAGCAAAAGCUUCUUCUCUCACCAGCUUCAUGCCAUGGUUGCUGAUUGGAGGGGGUUUAUAAUUUAUUUUUUACAAAUGUGCUAUGAAAAAGAAAAAAAAUGCUAUAAUAUUAAAAAAAACGAAUUUCCUCAUAGCUAUGAUAUUUAUAAUAUUAAUGAUGUUACACUUGUGAUGAAGAUGAUGGUGAUGUAAUGGUAAUGAUGAUUAAAGUGAUUGAAAAAUAUUAUUAGUAAUAUUUCACCAUGAGUUAAUAGUUUUAUGAUGGAAAAAAGUAUUUUUUUCUAUUUCGGAUAAUUAGAAAGAAAAAUAUUUUUCUAUUGAUAAUUUAUUAGUAUAUAUAUUUCAAAUGUUUAAGAUAUAUUUCAAAUAAAUGUACCUUAACUAUGAUAAAUGAUAUAUUCUCCGUUUGUUUGCAAUUUGAUUGUAAAGGAUUCCUUUUAACAUAAUUCUGCUUGAUAUACUCCAUGUAAUUACAAACUAAUUAGCUCAUUCUGGUCUUCUCACUUCUGGCAAUUAGCCAGUUUGAUGGCGACUUGCAACAAUGUACUGUCACCAACCGUUGUGUUGGACUUCGAUUCACCAAUAAUGCCCUGCAACUGAGCUUGAGCGAAGGAAUGGACAUUUGCAUUUUAGGCAAGGAAUUGCCUUGUAGAAUAGAAGAAGAAGAAGAAGGGGAAAAAACAAGCAAAGAUCCUUGUCUCAUUAAUUCUACUCUUCGUAAAGAGCACGUUGUUUAUACUUAAGAACACAUGAAGCUUUCAUGCUAACAUUUUCUUUUCUCCUCUUUAUAUAAUUAUAUACUUUUUUUUUUUUUUUUAAUAUCUAAGAUACUGUGGGAAACAACUUUACAGGCAUUAACACUAGAAGAAAAAUCAACAGGAAGCUCCUAAAUGCUGCGUAAACAUAUAGCAAUUUUAUAAAGAAAAGGAAUACAUGACCUGAAAAAUAAAAUACAGUACUGUGCAGAUGAAUCUCUUAUUCUGAACCACAAAACGCAGCUUUAUAUAGCAGUAAUAAAAGAAGUAGGACUUGGAGGGAUUGGGAUUUCGACUGUCCCCUCCAACAUCAGGAGGACCUUUUUCAUUGAAGGGCGGAGGGAUGGCUCAUCAAGAGUGCACCAAAUUCCCACUUUAACCAUCCUAUCUAACUGUUUCUUUUCGGCGACUUCUUCACCCACGAGUUUGUCCAUAUCACCGUCCUGAAAACAUUGGUAAACCCAUUGUUCGAGAACAGCUUCAUCCUCUGGAAGACUCCAAUCCACAUUCUUUCGACAACAUGUUAUCUCCAACAACAUAACUCCAAAGCUAUAAACAUCUGCUUUAACUGUCACCGGCAUAUUCCGGUGCCAUUCUGGUGCUACAUAUCCCCUCGUCCCUCUAAUUCCUGUGAAGGUUUUAGUUUGGUCUGACUUCAGCAACUUUGCCAAUCCAAAGUCAGAAACUUUGGGGCACCUGCUUUCAUCUAUUAGUAUAUUCUGAGGUUUUAUAUCACAGUGGAUGAUCUGAGUCUCGCACUCUUCAUGUAGAUAAACAAUACCCCUUGCAAUGUUGCGAGCAAUUUCCAACCUUUCAGGGAAGCAAGGUCGUUUUUCAAGUGAGAAGAGUAUGUCAGCGAGGGAGCCAUUGCUCAUGUACUCGUAUACCAGGAGCCUGUGAUGUCCAUCAUGGCAAUAGCCGAGGAGACGGACUAGGUUUCUGUGAUGUGUUUUCCCAAUGACUUUCAUCUCAUUCUGAAAUUCUCUUUCCCCUUCAGCUAGAACUUUCUCCAGUCUCUUGACAGCAACAACCUUCUGAUUACUUGAUAUUAUCCCUUUAUAUACUGUCCCAAAUGAUCCCCUGCCAAUUUCUUCCUUGAAACCACCAGUAACAUUUUCUAGCUCUGCAUAAGUGAAAGCUCGAGGAGCAAAUUCCUCAUUCAAUCCUGUACUAUCAUUACUGGGCACCUUUUUAUAUGCCAAUACAUGAUAUCUGUAAAUGAUGAUUCCGCAAAUCGGGACCAUAGCAAGCCCAAAAGCAACAAAUGAACAACUUAUUAUUAGGAUUGUCCUGCCCGUGCCAAGGUUCUUCUUCUCGGUUAUAGGCUCUUUUGAGUCUUUUCUGUCCAUGAUGGAUAUGGGUCUGCCCACCUUGACGACAGCCAAGUUCGUACUUCCCAAUUUUCUCCUCCCAAAUCUCAAAGGAAGCCUUUGCUUUCUGCAGUACUGUCCAUCAGUGAAUAAUGCUGCUUCACAGUUACAGUCUUCCAAACAGGCUUGCUUACAAUUGUCUUUAGUUGUUGAUGACAAAACGGAGUAUGAAGCAUCUUCCCACUCAGUAUUAGACAGCUCUUCCAUGGUGUAUGUGCUACUUCCAUUCUUGUCUUUGCAACUUUCAGCAUCGAAAUCCCUCUCACAGCCAGAAGUCCAAUUUCCCUGGCUAACAAACUCAAAUCCAGGAAGACAAGUACAUUCAGCUUCCUUAUCCUUCAUAACACAAUAUCCAUUAAGACCGCAUGAUCCUUUGGGGUCACACUUGUUGCUUGUGGACGACCACACAUCUGACCUGUUUCCAUUCCGUGUCAGAUUUUGUGAAUAUAAUCUGAAAAUCCCAUCAGCAUCAAGUUUCAUCAUAUUAAUUGUUUCUUUCGUGGGAUAUUCUCUAGCUGUAAUGUUUUUGAUGUUGAAACCUGUGGAAUUGAGCAGGUAGAGAUGGCCAUCCGGAUCAAGAUUUAGGGUCACAUUAUCUCCCUUCCCAUCAGUAAAAGAUGAAAAAUAAGAAUAUGGAGCUGUAUCUGGAGUAUUAACAGGAUACUGCACAAGGUUGCCAUCAUUUUGCAUCUUGAGUCGGUAAAUACCAGUUGAGAGGUCAGUUUCUGAAACAGGAGAAAACAGCUCUGCCCCUGCUUUGAGCUGUUGAGUUGGCAAAAGGGUAUCUGUUGGGUGGUCAAAACUCUGCCAUAUAAUCUCGCGAUCAGAAUUAUAUAGCACAAAGUUGCCUGAAUCAGACAUAGAAGCUAAAGAAGCUGGCUGGGAAGCAGAAACUAUCAAAGUAUCACCCCCUUGUGCUGAUGUCAGGACAAGCCUGCCAUCACUGGUGAAGAGCAAGGUCGCAUUACUGGGGACUGGGGCAUCAUCCCUUCUAGCAGCCCACACAACAGUCUUUAGUGAAAUCCCGGAUAGAAAAACCCCUAUAGAAUAGCCGUUGCGUUGUCGGAAAAAUCCAAAAGCAUAAAGACCGGAAGGCGACAACCAUGA